This 433-nucleotide ribosomal RNA is filed under the name uncultured bacterium. RNAcentral's name for it is "partial 16S ribosomal RNA". It matches the Rfam family "Bacterial small subunit ribosomal RNA", at positions 29 to 507 of the family's 1533-position model. The record is from RNAcentral.
AACGAACGCUGGCGGCAUGCCUAACACAUGCAAGUCGAACGAGACCUUCGGGUCUAGUGGCGCACGGGUGCGUAACGCGUGGGAACCUGCCCUUAGGUUCGGAAUAACUCCCCGAAAGGGGUGCUAAUACCGGAUAAUGUCUUCGGACCAAAGAUUUAUCGCCUUUGGAUGGGCCCGCGUUGGAUUAGCUAGUUGGUAGGGUAAAAGCCUACCAAGGCGACGAUCCAUAGCUGGUCUGAGAGGAUGAUCAGCCACACUGGGACUGAGACACGGCCCAGACUCCUACGGGAGGCAGCAGGGGGGAAUAUUGGGAAAUGGGCGAAAGGCUGAUCCAGCAAUGCCGGGGGAGUGAGGAAGGGCUUAGGGUUGUAAAGCUCUUUUACCCGGGAUGAUAAUGACAGUACCGGGAGAAUAAGCCCCGGCUAACUCCGUG